UACGUAGGGGGCAAGCGUUGUCCGGAAUCAUUGGGCGUAAAGCGCGCGUAGGUGGCUUCGUAAGUCCGUUGUGAAAGUCAAAGGCUCAACCUUUGAAUGCCGAUGGAUACUGCGGAGCUAGAGUACGGAAGAGGCGAGUGGAAUUCCUGGUGUAGCGGUGGAAUGCGCAGAUAUCAGGAGGAACACCAAUGGCGAAGGCAGAUCUCUGGGCCGUAACUGACGCUGAGGAGCGAAAGCAUGGGGAGCGAACAGG
This 253-nucleotide ribosomal RNA is filed under the name uncultured bacterium. RNAcentral's name for it is "partial 16S ribosomal RNA". It matches the Rfam family "Bacterial small subunit ribosomal RNA", at positions 524 to 776 of the family's 1533-position model. The record is from RNAcentral.